AGCUUAGCCAAACAUGCCCAGAGAGAGCAAGCGGCGUCAGAGAGAAUGCAGGAGAGAGAGAAAGAUCCAUGAAAGUAGGAGGAAGCCGGCCACCCCAAGCCGAUGAAGGGGAUGAUGGCAAUGGCUUAGGGCUGAGGUAGAUAACCAGAUUCGCAACGAUGGCAGCUAGGGUUUCGGAUUAGGGGUUUUAAAACCAGAUCAUGGAGGUGUUGGGGACGAUUUCAACCUUUAAGCACCAAGAAACCAAUCGUCGAACAAAACUUUUAAAACCCUUGCACCACUCUCCUCCCUGUGAAUAUUGGCGAUCCAACAUACAUAUUUCUUCUUAAAAAGUUAAAGCGUAUCAGAUUCGUAACAGGUUACACUUUUUGGUCCAGAUUAGUGUGUGGUUUGAUUGAAGUUGCAAGAGUGUAUAUUCUGACCAGUCGAAUUUCUGUUUGGAGUGGCCGAGUGGGAACAUCAGUAUACCAAGUAUGCUCUGCUCAGUUUUCCUUUUCCUUUUGGUUUCCUUCCAGUUUUCUUCUUCUGAUUGUUGGAUGGGUUGGAGACUCAGUACAAAGUGGGGUUUUUUUUAUGAAUUCAUCUCUAUAUGGUUUUGUAGAUUGAAGGUGCCUAUCUUGAAGAUGGAACCAUUUGUAAUGGUCACAAUGGAUUCGUAGCUGAUGAUGAGAGAUGAGUAUCACCAAAAUAUUACAUAGUUUAUUAGUUUUUCUCUAAUUUAUAUAAAAAAAUUUACUUUCAGUUCUGUAAAACUAUUUGAAUCUGAUUAAUCGACCGUUGUAGAAAUAUAUUGAGACCAUACAAUCUGUUGUUGUGGGUGCUUAGCGUUUCUCUCUAUAAUGGUCAAGAAUUUUUCUAGGUAUAAUAUGCAACUGAAAAAAAAUGUUAAAAAAGACCAAAUAUGUUUGUUUGUUUGUUAAUCAUCUUUCAUUGUUGGUUUUUUUCGAGUUUAUUGGAUGUUCCCCAUCUUUGAGUGGGGCUAUAUGGGUCAACCCGUGGGAUGUUGACUGGGUUGCAGAUGCACUGGAUUGUGCCUUGGAGCUGAGUGACCCCGAGAAGCAAAUGAGAUACCAGACAUUAUAGGUAUGUGAGUACUCAUGGUGUCGGCUAUUGGGCCCGUAGCUUUAUGCAAGAGUUGAAAAGAACAUGUAAUGAUCAUGUGAGUAAAAGGUGUUGGGGGAUACGGUUCGGGUUGAGUUUUUAGAGUUGUCGCUUUACAUCCGAAUUUUAAGAAGCUAUCAAUGGAGCAUAUAGUUUCGGCUUUUAAACGAACUACAACAAGGGCGAUUCUUUUGGAUUAUGAUGGCACUUUGAUACCUCAAUCUUCCAUCGAUAAAAGCCUGAGUUCUAAAACGAUAGAGAUGCUCAAUACUUUGUGUAGAGACAAGAACAACAUGAUUUUUGUUGAGAGGGCAAGGAGCUGAAAUACAUUAGGCGAAUGGUUUGCUUCUUUUGAAAAAGUCGGGCUUGCAACAGAGUAAAUUGGUUUUUGUAGGGUAUUCAAUAAAAA
Helianthus annuus (common sunflower) is the source of this 1510-nucleotide long non-coding RNA. RefSeq lists it as uncharacterized. NCBI's taxonomy places the organism in Eukaryota, Viridiplantae, Streptophyta, Magnoliopsida, Asterales, Asteraceae. The record is from RefSeq and is a predicted model, not a curated record. The transcript has 3 exons.